CAAAACCAAGCAACUUCAAGCCUCAAAUGGAAAAACCUCCAACAUUAAUGUUGUAUAUAUUUUUAAGGUGAUCAUUGUAGACUUAAAUUUUACAUCAUUUGGACUUUUAAUGAGAAAGUUAUGGGCACUUGAAGUUGGACAUUUUUCGAAUGCAAUGGUUUUGGUCGAAAGUGACCUAUAAUGUUUUGUAUUAUCACAUGUGUUUAUUUUAGGAUUAUGAAAU
Molecule: long non-coding RNA, 223 nt
Filed under: Lathyrus oleraceus (garden pea)
Lineage: Eukaryota; Viridiplantae; Streptophyta; Magnoliopsida; Fabales; Fabaceae
Description: Pisum sativum (pea) long non-coding RNA (PSAT_LNC011277)
Source: RNAcentral